Molecule: microRNA precursor, 91 nt
Filed under: Chlorocebus sabaeus (green monkey)
Lineage: Eukaryota; Metazoa; Chordata; Mammalia; Primates; Cercopithecidae
Description: miRNA (ENSCSAG00000024713.1)
Source: RNAcentral
GGCAGGUAUUAGGUUGCUGUAAAAGUUAUUGAGGUUUUUGCCAUUACUUUUCGUGGCAAAAACUGCAAUUACUUUGCACCAACUUAAAUAC